RNAcentral lists this transfer-messenger RNA (346 nucleotides) under Anaerosphaera aminiphila. Its description in RNAcentral is "Standard tmRNA". It matches the Rfam family "transfer-messenger RNA". Rfam says of the family: Bacterial tmRNA, also known as 10Sa RNA or SsrA, is named for its dual tRNA and mRNA-like properties. Lineage: Bacteria; Bacillati; Bacillota; Tissierellia; Tissierellales; Peptoniphilaceae. The record is from RNAcentral. RNAcentral also lists the same sequence under 1 other name.
GGGGGCGAAAUUGGCUUCGACGGGGGUUUGGAGCUUUUAGUAGCGAGCCGUUGUGAGGAACAACGAUAAAAGUCUCAACAAAAAUUAAACGAUAACGAUAAUUACGCGUUAGCUGCCUAAGCGGCGGCUCAUCCAUUAAGAGAGUCCCACGACUUUUAACUGGGUGUCAAAUUAGUGGGAAACGAAGCUCUGUAAGUUGCCAUAACAGAGGGGGUAUUAAUGGUAAUAUAGUUUGGAAAUCCUGUUAAUUGGAGUUUUAAACCGAACACUAAAUAAUUAACUGCGCUCGGAGAAACUGACUGGGAAGGACUUUCGGACGUGGGUUCGACCCCCACCGCCUCCACCA